RNAcentral lists this ribosomal RNA (459 nucleotides) under uncultured bacterium. RNAcentral's name for it is "partial 16S ribosomal RNA". It matches the Rfam family "Bacterial small subunit ribosomal RNA", at positions 338 to 795 of the family's 1533-position model. The record is from RNAcentral.
CCUACGGGAGGCAGCAGUGAGGAAUAUUGGUCAAUGGGCGCGAGCCUGAACCAGCCAAGUCGCGUGAGGGAAGACGGUCCUAUGGAUUGUAAACCUCUUUUGUCGGGGAGCAAAAGACGCCACGCGUGGCGUUCCGAGAGUACCCGUCGAAAAAGCACCGGCAAACUCCGUGCCAGCAGCCGCGGUAAUACGGAGGAUGCGAGCGUUAUCCGGAUUUAUGGGGGUUAAGGGGUGCGCAGGCGGAAGAUCAAGUCAGCGGUAAAAUUGAGGGGCUCAACCUCUCCGUGCCGUUGAAACUGGUUUUCUUGAGUGAGUGAGAGGUAGGCGGAAUGCGUGGUGUAGCGGUGAAAUGCAUAGAUAUCACGCAGAACUCCGAUUGCGAAGGCAGCAUACCGGAGCUCAACUGACGCUCAUGCACGAAAGUGUGGGUAUCGAACAGGAUUAGAUACCCGGGUAGUC